This is a long non-coding RNA of Canis lupus familiaris (dog), 1022 nucleotides long. RefSeq lists it as uncharacterized. The transcript is spliced from 8 exons. Lineage: Eukaryota; Metazoa; Chordata; Mammalia; Carnivora; Canidae. The record is from RefSeq and is a predicted model, not a curated record.
AUUCUGGAUUCCUAGCCACUCCCUCACACAACACUGUCACUUGGGGAAGAGAGAUGGGCAUCCUGCCACCGGCUACCUGGCCGAGGGCCCAGCUAAGGCUUUGGUCGCCUGAGGAAGAGUUAUAAGUCACAAUCAUCAUCACCGAAUAGAGGUGGUUCUAACAGUCCAAAUGAGAGCUGAUUGUCCGAUCAGAGCCCAGUUCAACCCAAGGAAUUAGGACAGAGCAGAAUCAAACCAGGACCAGCCACCUGUAGGAGACUGAGUGUAACUAAGUACCCAGUGGAGUGCUGGGGGGCGACAGGCAGAAGAACCCUGGUGAAGGAGGAAGAGAUGCUACCCACCAACCCUCGAUGGUGGCCUCCCUGCCCACUUCCCAGAAUUGGAGGCUCAAGGGACAUUGGGAAUGUGAGGGUGCUCAGAACAGUAAGUAUCACUGGUAUUUCCUUUGUGUCCGAGUUACCCAGUCAGCCAUGGUCUGGAGGCAGAAGAUGCUCCUUCUGAUAUGCCACCAGGAAGUCAGUAGUGGCCUAACGCUAUGUCACAACACCUACGUCAUUCACCUCACCUCAUCUCAUCACGCAGCCAUUUUAUCAUCUCACAUUAUCACAGGAGGAAGGGGCACUUGUGAAGAUAUUUAGGACUUACCCAGAUAAUCCAAGAUAGUCUCCUCAACUCCAGAUCCUUAACUUCAUCUCAUCUGUUACCACAUAAGGAACCCAUUCAUGACCAUGCCAGAUUCUAACAUGGUUACUAGGACCCUGGAGCCAUGAUAUAUACAGUCUGAGGUGGCUCUUAAUGUAAUUGUAAGUGUCCUACUAAGAGGAAGGCAAGAGGGAGAUCUGACUACAGAAGAGAAAUCAUGUGGUAACUGAAACAGAGAUUGGAGAAGUAUAUCCACAAUCCAAGGAACACCAGCCACCAUUAGAAGCCAGGAGAGGCAAGAAUCCUUCCUCCAGAAGGAACCAGUUGUGCCAACAUCUUGAUUUUAGUGCUGGAAGACCCAUUUCAGACUUCUGAUUUCC